This 635-nucleotide ribosomal RNA is filed under the name Colastomion sp. BKK0019. Its description in RNAcentral is "eukaryotic LSU rRNA". It matches the Rfam family "Eukaryotic large subunit ribosomal RNA", at positions 386 to 798 of the family's 3401-position model. The record is from RNAcentral. Lineage: Eukaryota; Metazoa; Arthropoda; Insecta; Hymenoptera; Braconidae.
CCUGAGAAACCCAAAAGAUCGAAUGGGGAGAUUCAUCGUCAGCUCAUUUUGUAUAUAUAUAUGUUAUGAUAUGGGUUAUUAACUUGUUAAUAUUGCCUAUACAUUCUUAUAUAUUUAAUUGCAAGAUGUUGUCGGCGUGCACUUCUUUCCUAGUAGAACGUCGCGACCCGUUGGGAUGUCGGUUUACGGCCCAAGUUGGUAGUCUUUAAUAUAUUAUUAUAUUAAAGUCCCUUGGUGUUUUCUAACCGGCUACUCGGCGGUAAACGUAUGGUAUUAAGCCGCAAUUAUUUGCGUUUAUUCCCGUCGCAAGCGAGGCCAAUUUCUGAUAGUAUGGACUUAGUGCCGUCGUUGGUAUUGGCCAGCUGUUGGUUGUUACGGUGUACUAAAACUGGCUUAUAAUAAUUACCGGUCGGCGAUGCUACUGCUUUGGGUACUUUCAGGACCCGUCUUGAAACACGGACCAAGGAGUCUAACAUGUGCGCAAGUCAUUGGGAUUAUUUUUUUAAAAUUAAACCUAAAGGCGCAAUGAAAGUAAAGGUCGUCCUUGUGUCGACUAAGGGAGGAUGAGUUAUGUUAUGAUAUAGCUCCGCACUCCCGGGGCGUCUCAUUCUUAUUAUAAGAAGAGGCGCACUUAG